GAUGAACGCUGACAGAAUGCUUAACACAUGCAAGUCUACUUGAACUUCGGUUUGGGUGGCGGACGGGUGAGUAACGCGUAAAGAACUUGCCUCACAGUUAGGGACAACAUUUGGAAACGAAUGCUAAUACCUGAUAUUAUGAUUUUAGGGCAUCCUAGGAUUAUGAAAGCUAUAUGUGCUGUGAGAGAGCUUUGCGUCCCAUUAGCUAGUUGGAGAGGUAACGGCUCACCAAGGCGAUGAUGGGUAGCCGGCCUGAGAGGGUGAACGGCCACAAGGGGACUGAGACACGGCCCUUACUCCUACGGGAGGCAGCAGUGGGCAAUAUUGGACAAUGGACCAAAAGUCUGAUCCAGCAAUUCUGUGUGCACGAUGACGUUUUUCGGAAUGUAAAGUGCUUUCAGUUGGGAAGAAAAAAAUGACGGUACCAACAGAAGAAGUGACGGCUAAAUACGUG
Molecule: ribosomal RNA, 454 nt
Filed under: uncultured bacterium
Lineage: Bacteria
Description: partial 16S ribosomal RNA
Rfam family: Bacterial small subunit ribosomal RNA
Source: RNAcentral